CUCGGGUCGGCCGGGAGGCGAGGUCGCUCCGAGCGGCCUGAUCCGGAAGAAAGGCCCUAGGCCGCGUUCGGGGGCGUGUCCCGGGCC
Molecule: transfer RNA, 87 nt
Filed under: Streptomyces anandii JCM 4720
Lineage: Bacteria; Bacillati; Actinomycetota; Actinomycetes; Kitasatosporales; Streptomycetaceae
Description: tRNA-Arg
Source: RNAcentral